CCUGGCUCACGUUGAGCGCUAGCUACAGGCUUAACACAUGCAAGUCGAGGGGCAGCAUUUCAGUUUGCUUGCAAACUGGAGAUGGCGACCGGCGCACGGGUGAGUAACACGUAUCCAACCUGCCGAUAACUCGGGGAUAGCCUUUCGAAAGAAAGAUUAAUACCCGAUGGCAUAAUUAGACCGCAUGGUCUUAUUAUUAAAGAAUUUCGGUUAUCGAUGGGGAUGCGUUCCAUUAGGCAGUUGGUGAGGUAACGGCUCACCAAACCUUCGAUGGAUAGGGGUUCUGAGAGGAAGGUCCCCCACAUUGGAACUGAGACACGGUCCAAACUCCUACGGGAGGCAGCAGUGAGGAAUAUUGGUCAAUGGACGAGAGUCUGAACCAGCCAAGUAGCGUGAAGGAUGACUGCCCUAUGGGUUGUAAACUUCUUUUAUAUGGGAAUAAAGUUUUCCACGUGUGGAAUUUUGUAUGUACCAUAUGAAUAAGGAUCGGCUAACUCCGUGCCAGCAGCCGCGGUAAUACGGAGGAUCCGAGCGUUAUCCGGAUUUAUUGGGUUUAAAGGGAGCGUAGGUGGACAGUUAAGUCAGUUGUGAAAGUUUGCGGCUCAACCGUAAAAUUGCAGUUGAUACUGGCUGUCUUGAGUACAGUAGAGGUGGGCGGAAUUCGUGGUGUAGCGGUGAAAUGCUUAGAUAUCACGAAGAACUCCGAUUGCGAAGGCAGCUCACUGGACUGCAACUGACACUGAUGCUCGAAAGUGUGGGUAUCAAACAGGAUUAGAUACCCUGGUAGUCCACACAGUAAACGAUGAAUACUCGCUGUUUGCGAUAUACAGUAAGCGGCCAAGCGAAAGCAUUAAGUAUUCCACCUGGGGAGUACGCCGGCAACGGUGAAACUCAAAGGAAUUGACGGGGGCCCGCACAAGCGGAGGAACAUGUGGUUUAAUUCGAUGAUACGCGAGGAACCUUACCCGGGCUUAAAUUGCAUUUGAAUAAUCUGGAAACAGGUUAGCCGCAAGGCAAAUGUGAAGGUGCUGCAUGGUUGUCGUCAGCUCGUGCCGUGAGGUGUCGGCUUAAGUGCCAUAACGAGCGCAACCCUUAUCUUUAGUUACUAACAGGUCAUGCUGAGGACUCUAGAGAGACUGCCGUCGUAAGAUGUGAGGAAGGUGGGGAUGACGUCAAAUCAGCACGGCCCUUACGUCCGGGGCUACACACGUGUUACAAUGGGGGGUACAGAAGGCAGCUACCUGGUGACAGGAUGCUAAUCCCAAAAGCCUCUCUCAGUUCGGAUCGAAGUCUGCAACCCGACUUCGUGAAGCUGGAUUCGCUAGUAAUCGCGCAUCAGCCAUGGCGCGGUGAAUACGUUCCCGGGCCUUGUACACACCGCCCG
RNAcentral lists this ribosomal RNA (1384 nucleotides) under uncultured bacterium. RNAcentral's name for it is "bacterial SSU rRNA". It matches the Rfam family "Bacterial small subunit ribosomal RNA", at positions 18 to 1396 of the family's 1533-position model. The record is from RNAcentral.